This 468-nucleotide ribosomal RNA is filed under the name uncultured bacterium. RNAcentral describes it as "partial 16S ribosomal RNA". It matches the Rfam family "Bacterial small subunit ribosomal RNA", at positions 28 to 507 of the family's 1533-position model. The record is from RNAcentral.
GACGAACGCUGGCGGCGUGCUUAACACAUGCAAGUCGAACGGAAAGGCCCUGCUUUUGUGGGGUGCUCGAGUGGCGAACGGGUGAGUAACACGUGAGUAACCUGCCCUUGACUUUGGGAUAACUUCAGGAAACUGGGGCUAAUACCGGAUAGGAGCUCCUGCUGCAUGGUGGGGGUUGGAAAGUUUCGGCGGUUGGGGAUGGACUCGCGGCUUAUCAGCUUGUUGGUGGGGUAGUGGCUUACCAAGGCUUUGACGGGUAGCCGGCCUGAGAGGGUGACCGGCCACAUUGGCACUGAGAUACGGCCCAGACUCCUACGGGAGGCAGCAGUGGGGAAUAUUGCACAAUGGGCGGAAGCCUGAUGCAGCAACGCCGCGUGCGGGAUGACGGCCUUCGGGUUGUAAACCGCUUUCGCCUGUGACGAAGCGUGAGUGACGGUAAUGGGUAAAGAAGCACCGGCUAACUACGUG